This 589-nucleotide ribosomal RNA is filed under the name Fusarium avenaceum. RNAcentral's name for it is "eukaryotic LSU rRNA". The stretch from base 218 to 370 matches the Rfam family "5.8S ribosomal RNA". The record is from RNAcentral. Lineage: Eukaryota; Fungi; Ascomycota; Sordariomycetes; Hypocreales; Nectriaceae.
CUUGGUCAUUUAGAGGAAGUAAAAGUCGUACAGGUCUCCGAUGGUGAACCAGCGGAGGGAUCAUUACCGAGUUUACAACUCCCAAACCCCUGUGAACAUACCUUAAUGUUGCCUCGGCGGAUCAGCCCGCGCCCCGUAAAACGGGACGGCCCGCCAGAGGACCCAAACUCUAAUGUUUCUUAUUGUAACUUCUGAGUAAAACAAACAAAUAAAUCAAAACUUUCAACAACGGAUCUCUUGGUUCUGGCAUCGAUGAAGAACGCAGCAAAUGCGAUAAGUAAUGUGAAUUGCAGAAUUCAGUGAAUCAUCGAAUCUUUGAACGCACAUUGCGCCCGCUGGUAUUCCGGCGGGCAUGCCUGUUCGAGCGUCAUUUCAACCCUCAAGCCCCCGGGUUUGGUGUUGGGGAUCGGCUCUGCCCUUCUGGGCGGYGCCGCCCCCGAAAUACAUUGGCGGUCUCGCUGCAGCCUCCAUUGCGUAGUAGCUAACACCUCGCAACUGGAACGCGGCGCGGCCAUGCCGUAAAACCCCAACUUCUGAAUGUUGACCUCGGAUCAGGUAGGAAUACCCGCUGAACUUAAGCAUAUCAAUA